RNAcentral lists this ribosomal RNA (2821 nucleotides) under Phocaeicola vulgatus. RNAcentral's name for it is "bacterial LSU rRNA". It matches the Rfam family "Bacterial large subunit ribosomal RNA". The record is from RNAcentral. Lineage: Bacteria; Pseudomonadati; Bacteroidota; Bacteroidia; Bacteroidales; Bacteroidaceae.
AAAAAAGGGCGCAUGGCGGAUGCCUUGGCUCUCGGAGGCGAUGAAGGACGUGAUAAGCUGCGAUAAGCUUUGGGGAGGUGCAAAUGACCUUUGAUCCAGAGAUUUCCGAAUGGGACAACCCAAUAUCUUGAAGAGGUAUUAUCUUACUAUGUAAGAGGCUAACGCAGGGAACUGAAACAUCUUAGUACCUGCAGGAAAAGAAAAUAAACAAUGAUUCCCCCAGUAGUGGCGAGCGAACGGGGAACAGCCCAAACCAUCCAUGUUACGGCAUGGGUGGGGUUGUAGGACUACGCCGUUGCAUGAAGACAUCAGAGAAGAACUUUCUGGAAAGAAAGACCAUAGAGCAUGACAGUUGCGUAUUCGAAUGUUGUCGAAGCAUAGUAGUAUCCUGAGUAGCGCGGAGCACGAGGAAUUCUGCGUGAAUCUGCCGGGACCAUCCGGUAAGGCUAAAUACUCCCGAGAGACCGAUAGCGAACCAGUACCGUGAGGGAAAGGUGAAAAGCACUUCGAACAGAAGAGUGAAAUAGUUCCUGAAACCGUGCGCCUACAAGCGGUCGGAGCUCGUUAAUGAGUGACGGCGUGCCUUUUGCAUAAUGAACCUACGAGUUGCCUUUGCCGGCAAGGUUAAGUGUGACGACACGUAUCCGAAGCGAAAGCGAGUCUGAACAGGGCGUAUAGUCGGCAGUGGCAGACGCGAAACCAAGUGAUCUACCCUUGGCCAGGUUGAAGGCUGGGUAACACCAGCUGGAGGACCGCACCAAUAAGCGUUGAAAAGCUUCUGGAUGAGCUGAGGGUAGGGGUGAAAGGCUAAUCAAACUUGGAGAUAGCUCGUACUCCCCGAAAUGCAUUUAGGUGCAGCCUUGCGGGUUACUGAUGUGAGGUAGAGCGACUGAUAAGAUGCGAGGGCUUCACCGCCUAUCAAGUCUUGACAAACUCCGAAUGCGCAUCAGUUCUACCGCAGGAGUGAGGGCAUGGGUGCUAAGGUCCGUGCCCGAGAGGAGAAGAAUCCGGACCACCUGCUAAGGUCCCGAAAUGACAGCUAAGUUAAACUAACGAAGUCUGACUGCUAAGACAGCUAGGAUGUUGGCUUGGAAGCAGCCAUUCAUUAAAGAGUGCGUAACAGCUCACUAGUCGAGGAGUCGGGCGUGGAUAAUAAUCGGGUAUCAAGUUGUCUACCGAAGCAGUGGGAUCAUUGAUAUGAUCGGUAGGGGAGCAUUCCAGUCGGCGUCGAAGGCGUACCGUGAGGUAUUCUGGAGCGUCUGGAAAAGCAAAUGUAGGUAUAAGUAACGAUAAAGGGGCGGGAAACCCCUCGCCGAAAGACUAAGGUUUCCUGAUCAACGCUAAUCGGAUCAGGGUCAGUCGGGUCCUAAGGCUCAGCCGAAUGGCGAUGCCGAUGGCAGAAACGGUUAAUAUUCCGUUACUACCUUCAGGAGUGACGUGGAGACGCAGUAGUGACAGUGCCGCCAUCUGACGGAAUAGAUGGUUGAAGGGUGUAGGAGUCGAUCAUGGCAGGCAAAUCCACCAUGAGAUCCGAACCUGACAGUAUGCCGCGUCCUUCGGGACAAGGCAAUAGUGCGCGUAAGCAUGCUGCCGAGAAAAUCCGCUAAACUUAAUCCUGCAGGUACCCGUACCGCAAACGGACACACGUAGUCGGGAUGAAUAUUCUAAGGCGCUUGAGUGAUUCACGGUUAAGGAACUAGGCAAACUGACCCUGUAACUUCGGGAUAAAGGGUCCCUACCCUUUUAUGGGAGGGCAGAGAAUCGGUCCAGGCAACUGUUUAACAAAAACACAGGGCUGUGCCAAAUCGAAAGAUCCAGUAUACAGCCUGACACCUGCCCGGUGCUGGAAGGUUAAGAGGAGAUGUCAUCGAUAAGAGAAGCGUUGAAUUGAAGCCCAGUAAACGGCGGCCGUAACUAUAACGGUCCUAAGGUAGCGAAAUUCCUUGUCGGGUAAGUUCCGACCUGCACGAAUGGUGUAAUGAUCUGGACGCUGUCUCAACCGUGAGCUCAGUGAAAUUGUAGUAUCGGUGAAGAUGCCGAUUACCCGCGAUGGGACGAAAAGACCCCGUGAACCUUUACUAUAGCUUAUCAUUGAAUCUGGGCACGUGAUGUGUAGGAUAGGUCGGAGGCUUUGAAGCAGGUACGCCAGUAUUUGUGGAGCCGCUGUUGAAAUACGACCCUUUAUUUGUUUGGAUUCUAACCCGUGGAACGGGGACAUUGAUUGGUGGGUAGUUUGACUGGGGUGGUCGCCUCCAAAAGCGUAACGGAGGCUUCUAAAGGUGCCCUCCGGCCGAUUGGUAACCGGCCUUAGAGUGUAAUGGCAUAAGGGCGCUUGACUGGGAGACUAACAAGUCGAUCAGGUAGGAAACUAGAGCAUAGUGAUCCGGUGUUUCCGUAUGGAAGGGACAUCGCUCAAAGGAUAAAAGGUACUCCGGGGAUAACAGGCUGAUCCCUCCCAAGAGCUCAUAUCGACGGAGUGGUUUGGCACCUCGAUGUCGGCUCGUCACAUCCUGGGGCUGGAGAAGGUCCCAAGGGUUGGGCUGUUCGCCCAUUAAAGUGGCACGCGAGCUGGGUUCAGAACGUCGUGAGACAGUUCGGUCUCUAUCUAUCGUGGGCGCAUGAAAUUUGCGUGGCUCUGACACUAGUACGAGAGGACCGUGUUGGACAGACCUCUGGUUUGCCGGUUGUGCCGCCAGGUGCAUUGCCGGGUAUCUAAGUCUGGAUCGGAUAAGUGCUGAAAGCAUCUAAGUACGAAGCCGGCCACAAGAUUAGAUUUCUCAGGGUCGUUGUAGACUACGACGUUGAUAGGAUGCAGGUGUAA